This is a long non-coding RNA of Neodiprion fabricii, 773 nucleotides long. RefSeq lists it as uncharacterized. Lineage: Eukaryota; Metazoa; Arthropoda; Insecta; Hymenoptera; Diprionidae. The record is from RefSeq and is a predicted model, not a curated record. The transcript is spliced from 2 exons.
UCUCUCUCUCUCUCUCUGUCUCUAUCUCUUACUCAUUUGCUGUUUCCUGCAGAUUAUUCCCAGGAAUAAAUUCAUUACGCAGACUGACGACUAAAAAUGCCAUAUGACGAAUAAAAACCACGGAAUUGUAGCCACAUGCUGGAUGCAUAGCCAGAAAGAGAAGAAGGAUCGCGGAAAUGUGGAUACGACUGAUCUAAGCUGAAUUACCAGUAAAAUGUACUGUGAAACAAACACAUUAACCGUGAAUGUACGAAUCAAAAAUUACGGCACCACUUGCAACGUUUUUUAAUAUCUUAUUACAUGCUGUCAUACACGUAGAUCCAAGUUUUGCGUCGUUUCGCAAUGGCUCAGCUGCUUGCAAAGUCCACACAUUCUCUGCUGUAUACGAGUCUUCUUGUAGCCAUUGACGAUGUAUGUAGUAGGAACUGGAAGUUUCAAACAGGUUCCAACUCCCUAUGCUAUAGAAUAUCAAAGUGGGACACAGCCCGGCAUGUACAGUUAUGUCUCGAGGAAAUAUCUUUGUCAGAUACUAAAAGCAUAUAAUUUCAAAUUAUUGAGUAACAUAAUUUUCAAAUUUCAGAUAUGAUAUGGUGGAAAACGUCUGUUUCCUUAUUUGUAACACGCUUUGGAUAUACAUUGAUCUAGCAAGUACCAAAACUACAUAAAUCUGAGAAUUGUUCUUAAAGUUGUAGACAUGUGAAAUUAAGUAAAAAAUAAAUACUAUAUUCAGUAUGUAGUGUCAAUGAUAGGUCAAAUUCCUUGACAUUUCCCAA